Molecule: ribosomal RNA, 1498 nt
Filed under: uncultured bacterium
Lineage: Bacteria
Description: bacterial SSU rRNA
Rfam family: Bacterial small subunit ribosomal RNA
Source: RNAcentral
UGUUCGAUUCUGGCUCAGGAUGAACGCUGGCGGCAUGCCUAAUACAUGCAAGUCGAACGGAGUGAAGCCUUCGGGUUUCAUUCAGUGGCGAACGGGUGAGUAAUACGCAGGGAACCUGGCCAUGGCAGGGGGAUACACUCUGGAAACGGAGCAUAAGACCCCAUAGGCAGUAAGGCGGCAUCGCCUUACUGUUAAAGAAAGCUGAAAGGCUUUGGCGAUGGAUGGACCUGCGGUGCAUUAGCUUGUUGGUGAGGCAACGGCUUACCAAGGCGAUGAUGCAUAGCCGGCCUGAGAGGGCGGACGGCCACACUGGGACUGAGACACGGCCCAGACUCCUGCGGGAGGCAGCAGUAGGGAAUUUUCGUCAAUGGGCGCAAGCCUGAACGAGCAAUGCUGCGUGAGUGAGGAAGGUCUUCGGACUGUAAAGCUCUGUUGCCGGGGAAAAAGGGGAAAUGCAGGAAAUGGCAUUUCAUGGAUGGUACCCGGCCAGAAAGCCACGGCUAACUACGUGCCAGCAGCCGCGGUAAUACGUAGGUGGCGAGCGUUAUCCGGAAUGAUCGGGCGUAAAGGGUGCGCAGGCGGUCUGUUAAGUCUGAAGGCAAAGGGAUGAGCUCAACUCAUUUAUGAUUCAGAAACUGGCAGACUUGAGGACAGGAGAGGGCGGUGGAACUCCAUGUGUAGCGGUAAAAUGCGCAGAGAUAUGGAAGAACACCAGUGGCGAAGGCGGCCGCCUGGCCUGUGACUGACGCUGAGGCACGAAAGCGUGGGGAGCAAAUAGGAUUAGAUACCCUAGUAGUCCACGCCGUAAACGAUGAGGAGCAGGUGUUGGGAGUGAAAUCUCAGUGCCGAAGCCAACGCAGUGACUCCUCCGCCUGGGGAGUAUGCACGCAAGUGUGAAACUCAAAGGAAUUGACGGGGGCCCGCACAAGCGGUGGAGUAUGUGGUUUAAUUCGAAGCAACGCGAAGAACCUUACCAGGUUUUGACAUCGGAUGCGAAGGCGCAGAGAUGCGCUGGAGGCUAUCAUCCAGACAGGUGGUGCAUGGUUGUCGUCAGCUCGUGUCGUGAGAUGUUCAGUUAAGUCUGGCAACGAGCGCAACCCCCGUGGUAUGUUACUAACGCAUUUGGGCGAGGACUCAUAUCAGACUGCCGGUGACAAACCGGAGGAAGGCGGGGAUGACGUCAAAUCAUCAUGCCCCUUAUGACCUGGGCUACACACGUACUACAAUGGCGUCUACAGAGGGAAGCGACCCUGAGAAGGGAAGCGAAACCGGAAAAGGGCGUCCCAGUUCGGAUUGAAGUCUGCAACCCGACUUCAUGAAGAUGGAAUCGCUAGUAAUCGCGGAUCAGCAUGCCGCGGUGAAUACGUUCCCGGGCCUUGUACACACCGCCCGUCAAACCAUGGAAGCCGGCAACGCCCGAAGCCGGUGGCAUAACCUUUUAGGAGUGAGCCGUCGAAGGCGGGGCCGAUGACUGGGGUUAAGUCGUAACAAGGUAUCC